GAUGAACGCUAGCGGGAGGCCUAACACAUGCAAGCCGAGCGGUAGAGUUUCUUCGGAAACUUGAGAGCGGCGCACGGGUGCGUAACACGUGUGCAACCUACCUUUAUCUGGGGGAUAGCCUUUCGAAAGGAAGAUUAAUACCCCAUAAUAUAAUGAUUGGCAUCAAUUAUUAUUGAAAACUCCGGUGGCUAGAGAUGGGCACGCGCAAGAUUAGAUAGUUGGUGAGGUAACGGCUCACCAAGGCAAUGAUCUUUAGGGGUCCUGAGAGGGAGAUCAGCCACGCGGGGACUGAGACACCGCACGGACUGCUACGUGAGGCAGCAGGGGGGUAUAUUGGAUAAUGGGCGAAAGUAUGACACAGCAAUGCCGCGUGAGGUAUGAAGGCCUUAGGGUUGUAAAGCUCUUUUACCCGGGAUGAUAAUGACAGUACCGGGAGAAUAAGCUCCGGCUAACUCCGUG
Molecule: ribosomal RNA, 459 nt
Filed under: uncultured bacterium
Lineage: Bacteria
Description: partial 16S ribosomal RNA
Rfam family: Bacterial small subunit ribosomal RNA
Source: RNAcentral